GGUGGACUGGCGCAAUGGCAGCGCGUUAGUUUCCGGAGCUAGAGGUUCUCGGUUCGAGUCCGGGGUUCAUCG
This is a transfer RNA of Daedalea quercina L-15889, 72 nucleotides long. It matches the Rfam family "tRNA". From Rfam's summary of the family: Transfer RNA (tRNA) molecules are approximately 80 nucleotides in length. NCBI's taxonomy places the organism in Eukaryota, Fungi, Basidiomycota, Agaricomycetes, Polyporales, Fomitopsidaceae. The record is from Rfam.